GUCUCCAUAGCUUAGUCGGUAGAACUCCCGACUAUGGUGUAGUAAAACACGGGUUCGUACCCCGCUGAAGGCA
Henosepilachna vigintioctopunctata is the source of this 73-nucleotide non-coding RNA. The record is from the annotation of a GenBank genome assembly. NCBI's taxonomy places the organism in Eukaryota, Metazoa, Arthropoda, Insecta, Coleoptera, Coccinellidae.